UUUGGCGGCUGUAGCGCGGUGGUCCCACCUGACCCCAUGCCGAACUCAGAAGUGAAACGCCGUAGCGCCGAUGGUAGUGUGGGGUCUCCCCAUGCGAGAGUAGGGAACUGCCAGAC
RNAcentral lists this ribosomal RNA (116 nucleotides) under Citrobacter freundii. The record is from RNAcentral. Lineage: Bacteria; Pseudomonadati; Pseudomonadota; Gammaproteobacteria; Enterobacterales; Enterobacteriaceae. RNAcentral also lists the same sequence under 1 other name.